ACUAUUAUAGGAGCACCGGUUUGAAGCAGGAUCGUCAACACCAAGGGUAAUAUUGGUAUUUCACUCUAACCCAUGCUUGCUUCAAUAAAGAACACGUGUCCUUUUCUACCAUCAUCAUCAUCAAAGAGACACUAGAACGUUCCAUUCCACUUUCUUUCCAAUUUUCAGUUCAGCCAUUUCUAGCAAUUUUUUUUCUUUCACUUUCUUCAUUUGAACUCAUUUACUUAGUAACUCCAACGUCUAUUCAAUUCUCCAUCCUGUAUUAUUCUUUUUUUAUUGGUUGAUUUCAAAGUUGGGUGACAUGCUUGAAAUUAGUUUGGUUUGCUGCAUCUAAGAGUGUGAUAGUCUUGUUUUACUCCAAGAAUGGAAAACCCAAUUCGUCAUUUCCUAGUUCAAGGGGAAGAAAUAUACGAGCAUGCGGGAAUCCAAGGAGAAGUUAUAGUGAUUCGUGUGAGCCUCAUAUUUGAGGGCCGCUACUCUUCGGAUGUGCACGGGUAACCUGCUCACUUUGCAAUAGCUCGCAAACCACACAAGAGAUGUGAACUGCACUGGGCAAGCCUGGUGCAACGGGCUCUGAUGGAGGUGGUCUGUUUGCACUUAACAUUUGAUGGUCCCAAAAGUAUAGAUAAGAUGGUAUUGAUCCACUCUUUUAUAUAUAAAUAAUAGAAAAGCUUGCUUCCGUAUAUUGACCUUGUGCAUACUGCAUACUAGGGUUUUUAAUCUUUCUAUACACAAUCCCUUGGAAAGUUGAAUUAUCCUAACUUUAUCAAACUAAAGAAGAUCUCAUGGAAACAGACGAGUUUUUCUUCACACCGGAAUCCAUGGUACUAAAGAUGUCUCCUUUUUAUUCCCUUGACUUAGUAGUCCUUUAUUUCAUAUUAUGGAAUUUCACUGAGAAAUUGGUAUCUGACUUUCAAACUGAUUACAAUUUUGCAGUGUUAAAGUAUACAACCACAGACUACUAUAACUUCUGACAUUUACUCUUGGUGGAUCUGUUCCAGCAUUUCACACAAAUAUAAAUGUUACAAAAUGUGGUGGUGGAGCACAAACGAUGCUAUGUGUAUGUCAGUAGAUACAAUCUGCAAUUUAGACAUUUUCCUAGAAAAAUUGAUACUUAAUUCUUACAGAGAAAGAGAAAAAGAACAAGAAAAUGAUGACAAACUUGGUCAUGUAGACCAGCAGUAUCAUUCUUAUUAAAUUAAAUUAAAAAUAAACAUGGACAAGUGUCUAUACAUAAUACUUGAGUUUUUCUGAUGUCACAAUCCAAAUUAAAAGAUUAUUGAAGUUUUAAGAUCAUGAAAAAGUUGGAUAUGGAAAUAGAAAAAAAGCAAGAAAGAAAAGAGAUACUUGAAUCUGAAUAUAGCAUGUUCUCUAUUUGUAAUCCAUUAGAGCAAAAUGUUGAAUGCAAUUAGCACAUCCAUGUGAAUGUUGAAGUAGAAGAAACUUCUUUAUGGACCAAAGAAAGAAGGAGACUUUCUUUAUGCAUCUGAUGAGGUUAAUGGCUUUGAGAAAGUUACAUCUGUAAGAUGCGCAAUUGUAUUGCGAUCAACUGAUAAAGUGAUUGAUUACUGAAGCACUUCAAGAGCAUGGCCCUUACUUUUGUUUUCAUUGCUUACAAUUAUUGCUUGUAAAACCUGAAUUAAAAACAGAUUUAACAUUAGAAAUUUUUGUUUUACUUCUCUAUGAUAUUUUUAACUAUAAAAGGUAGAGAAUUCUCUACUGAAUUUUUUUCCUCACUUGUUGCAUUUGCAUCUCUGUACAUAAAUGUGACAAUUAAUAUUUUCAGAAAGUUGCUUUUCUAACUUAAUAUCCGGAAAGAGCGCGUAAAUUUCCCUUUUCAACUGUUUAGUUUUACUUUUUGAGAUUUUGCAAAUAAUAAGUACCAUUUUAAUGCUACAAUAGUUACUUGGAAAUACUUAGAUAUGAUAGCUUUAUCAGUUAAGUUGCUUUCCUUUGAUCUAAUUUAUAUAAUUGCAACUAUGCCCUUUUUCGGUUAUCAAAUUACAAGAUAAUGUUGAUGAUUCUUUUCGCUCUUAAAAUAAUUUAAUCAGGUAUAAUUACAUAACUAUUCUGCAGUUCAUGCCAUUA
Molecule: long non-coding RNA, 2088 nt
Organism: Lycium ferocissimum
Lineage: Eukaryota; Viridiplantae; Streptophyta; Magnoliopsida; Solanales; Solanaceae
Exons: 3
Source: RefSeq, a predicted model, not a curated record